Molecule: ribosomal RNA, 253 nt
Filed under: uncultured bacterium
Lineage: Bacteria
Description: partial 16S ribosomal RNA
Rfam family: Bacterial small subunit ribosomal RNA
Source: RNAcentral
UACGAAGGGGGCGAGCGUUGUUCGGAUUUACUGGGCGUAAAGGGCGCGCAGGCGGCUCAUUUUGUCAGGCGUGAAAGCCCCGGGCUUAACCUGGGAACUGCGUUUGAUACGGAUGGGCUAGAGUUCGGGAGAGGAGAGUGGAAUUCCCAGUGUAGAGGUGAAAUUCGUAGAUAUUGGGAAGAACACCCGUGGCGAAGGCGGCUCUCUGGGACGGUACUGACGCUGAGACGCGAAAGCGUGGGGAGCGAGCAGG